Molecule: ribosomal RNA, 260 nt
Filed under: uncultured Staphylococcus sp.
Lineage: Bacteria; Bacillati; Bacillota; Bacilli; Caryophanales; Staphylococcaceae
Description: partial 16S ribosomal RNA
Rfam family: Bacterial small subunit ribosomal RNA
Source: RNAcentral
UACGUAGGUGGCAAGCGUUAUCCGGAAUUAUUGGGCGUAAAGCGCGCGUAGGCGGUUUUUUAAGUCUGACGUGAAAGCCCACGGCUCAACCGUGGAGGGUCAUUGGAAACUGGAAAACUUGAGUGCAGAAGAGGAAAGUGGAAUUCCAUGUGUAGCGGUGAAAUGCGCAGAGAUAUGGAGGAACACCAGUGGCGAAGGCGACUUUCUGGUCUGUAACUGACGCUGAUGUGCGAAAGCGUGGGGAUCAAACAGGAUUAGAU